This 846-nucleotide ribosomal RNA is filed under the name Archilina israelitica. Its description in RNAcentral is "eukaryotic LSU rRNA". It matches the Rfam family "Eukaryotic large subunit ribosomal RNA", at positions 670 to 1462 of the family's 3401-position model. The record is from RNAcentral. Lineage: Eukaryota; Metazoa; Platyhelminthes; Proseriata; Monocelididae.
GGAGUCUAGCAUAUGCGCGAGUCAUUGGGCGUUACGAAACCCAAAGGCGUAGUGAAAGCAAAGGUGUACCUUUGUGCACUGAGGUAUGAUCCCGGUUCCUUAAUUGGGCUGGGCGCAAUACCGACCCGUCCUAAACUGUCUUACAGUGGGGCGGCGUAAGAGCGCAUAUGCUGAAACCCGAAAGAUGGUGAACUAUGCUUGGGCAGGUUGAAGCCAGAGGAAACUCUGGUGGAGGACCGUAGCGAUUCUGACGUGCAAAUCGAUCGUCAGACCCGAGUAUAGGGGCGAAAGACUAAUCGAACCAUCUAGUAGCUGGUUCCCUCCGAAGUUUCCCUCAGGAUAGCUGGUUCACAUGAACUAAACAGUCUCAUCCGGUAAAGCGAAUGAUUGGAGGUAUUGGGGACGAAAUGUUCUCAACCUACUCUCAAACUUUAAAUGGGUGAGAUCUCUGACCCGCUUAAUUGGGCUUGGGGGGUUUUGGAUGUGUGUACCUAGUGGGCCAUUUUUGGUAAGCAGAACUGGCGCUGUGGGAUGAACCAAACUAUCAGCUAAGGUGCCAAACAGGACGUUCAUGAGACACCACACAAGGUGUUGGUUGAUAUAGACAGCAGGACGGUGGCCAUGGAAGUUGGAAUCCGCUAAGGAGUGUGUAACAACUCACCUGCCGAAUCAACCAGCCCUGAAAAUGGAUGGCGCUUGAGCGUUCGACCUAUGCUGGUACCUGAUAGCAUGCCUUGAUCAGCCUAGCUGAAGCUAUCAGGAGUAGGAGGGUCUCCGUGGUGAGCGUUGAAGCUUCCCCCGUGAGGUGGGGUGGAGCCGCCACGGGUGCAGAUCUUGGUGGUAGUA